RNAcentral lists this ribosomal RNA (264 nucleotides) under uncultured Mycoplasma sp. Its description in RNAcentral is "partial 16S ribosomal RNA". It matches the Rfam family "Bacterial small subunit ribosomal RNA", at positions 98 to 354 of the family's 1533-position model. The record is from RNAcentral. Lineage: Bacteria; Bacillati; Mycoplasmatota; Mollicutes; Mycoplasmatales; Mycoplasmataceae.
CGGAAUGGGUGAGUAACACGUGAUUAAUCUACCUUUUAGAUUGGAAUACCCAUUGGAAACAAUGGCUAAUGCCGGAUACGCAUGGAACCGCAUGGUUCCGUUGUGAAAGGCGCUGUAAGGCGCCACUAAAAGAUGAGGGUGCGGAACAUUAGUUAGUUGGUGAGGUAAUGGCCCACCAAGACUAUGAUGUUUAGCCGGGUCGAGAGACUGAACGGCCACAUUGGGACUGAGAUACGGCCCAAACUCCUACGGGAGGCAGCAGGA